GCAGUAUCUACCACCGGAUCGGAAACGCGACCCACUGAGAAGAUCCGGCGAGAAACUCAUUGGGCUGUGUCUAUGGGUUAGUUUACUCAUCGAGCCCGUCGUCGCCAGCGACGCGACGGGUUCGGUGAGGACGGUGACCGGUGCUUGAGGUACCUAAAAGCACCGUUAAUGGAUCGGGAGAAUCCGUAAUGACGUAGACUACUACAGUACAAAAUAAUAAUUAAUUGCAAAAUGAUUAUUUCCACAUUGCAAAUAUUAAUUGAGUUUGAUGUUAAGGAAAUCUAAUUUCUAAACGUUAAAUUAGGUAUAUUGCGCUUUCCAGACUACAUUUUCAAAAUGGUAAUAAACGAUAGUUUCUAAUUGGAGGGUAGUUAUCAUUUUUGUUAAAUAGCUAUUCUUAAUUGCAACUGAAGAUAUUCCUAAAUAAUUUAAUAUGCUUGAAUUUUGGCAAACACUCAUUUUAACUGCAGUUUUUGUUGCAUUAACAAUAAUCUUAAUUGGGUUCACAAUUAUACCUUGGUGUAAACAAAGAAAGAUCCGUGAAGACAGAGAAUCUACUUGGGGCCGAAUGGCUUAUAAUCAUGAUACCUAUACAAUUGCAUCCCCAGUAAUGCCUCCAUACUUUUUUGUAAACGAACUUAGUUAUGAUGGUUAUAUUGCACCAUUUUAAAUAUUUUAAGUAUAGUGCAUAACGAACUAUCUUAAAAAAUAUAACUGUAUUUUGUUUUAUUUCAUAUAUAAAAAUAAAUUUUAUUUCAUGAAAUGGUUAUCUGAUGGAAUCUAAAUGUUAUUUUUAUAUUACUCAGAUAAAAAAUGAAAUUCCUAAAAUAAUUCUUAGAUGUGUCAGUUCACUUUUUAUUUUUUAUUGCAUAUAUUAUUUGUAUGAAUUAUUCCAUAUCAGUCUUUAAUAAAACAUGUCUAAAGGAA
Bombyx mori (domestic silkworm) is the source of this 927-nucleotide long non-coding RNA. RefSeq lists it as uncharacterized. The record is from RefSeq and is a predicted model, not a curated record. Lineage: Eukaryota; Metazoa; Arthropoda; Insecta; Lepidoptera; Bombycidae. The transcript is spliced from 2 exons.